Molecule: ribosomal RNA, 253 nt
Filed under: uncultured bacterium
Lineage: Bacteria
Description: partial 16S ribosomal RNA
Rfam family: Bacterial small subunit ribosomal RNA
Source: RNAcentral
UACGUAGGGGGCAAGCGUUGUCCGGAUUUAUUGGGCGUAAAGGGUGCGUAGGCGGUUUGGUAAGUCUGAUGUGAAAUCUAUGGGCUCAACUCAUAGUCUGCAUCGGAAACUGCCGGGCUUGAGUGUGGGAGAGGUGAGUGGAAUUCCCGGUGUAGCGGUGAAAUGCGUAGAGAUUAGGAAGAACACCAGUGGCGAAGGCGACUUACUGGACUGUAACUGACGCUGAGGCAUGAAAGCGUGGGGAGCAAACAGG